UCCCUGAUAGUUCAGUUGGUAAAGAAUCUGCCUGCAAUGCAGGAGAUCCCGGUUCGAUUCCUGGGUCGGGAA
RNAcentral lists this transfer RNA (72 nucleotides) under Ovis aries (sheep). It matches the Rfam family "tRNA". From Rfam's summary of the family: Transfer RNA (tRNA) molecules are approximately 80 nucleotides in length. Their secondary structure includes four short double-helical elements and three loops (D, anti-codon, and T loops). Lineage: Eukaryota; Metazoa; Chordata; Mammalia; Artiodactyla; Bovidae. The record is from Rfam by way of RNAcentral.